Molecule: ribosomal RNA, 264 nt
Filed under: Erronea fernandoi
Lineage: Eukaryota; Metazoa; Mollusca; Gastropoda; Littorinimorpha; Cypraeidae
Description: partial 16S large subunit ribosomal RNA
Source: RNAcentral
UAUGCUGUUAUCCCUAUGGUAACUAAUUCCAUUGAUCAAAACUUCUGGAUCAACACCUGUAAGUYUUAUUAACUAUAAAGAAGCUUUAUCUGUUCCAUAGUCGCCCCAACCAAAAUCUAAAAUAGAUUAAUAUUUAAAAUUAUAUAUURUUUUCAAUUUACUCUUUUAAAGCUCAAUAGGGUCUUCUUGUCUUUCAAUKAUAUCUAGGUUUCCUCACCUAGAAAUCAAAUUCUAAAAAAUUAUAUAGAGACAGUUUUGUUCACG